This 879-nucleotide ribosomal RNA is filed under the name uncultured crenarchaeote. Its description in RNAcentral is "bacterial SSU rRNA". It matches the Rfam family "Archaeal small subunit ribosomal RNA", at positions 407 to 1284 of the family's 1478-position model. Lineage: Archaea; Thermoproteati; Thermoproteota. The record is from RNAcentral.
CUGUGGUGGAUGAGUAAUGUUCUCCGCUAGAAAGGAGAGGGCAAGGCUGGUGCCAGCCGCCGCGGUAAAACCAGCUCUUCAAGUGGUCGGGAUAAUUAUUGGGCUUAAAGUGUCCGUAGCCGGUAUGGUAAGUUCCUGGUAAAAUUGGGCAGCUUAACUGUCCUUGUGCUAGGGAUACUGCUCUACUAGAGGGCGGGAGAGGUCUGAGGUACUACAGGGUUAGGGGUGAAAUCUUAUAAUCCUUGUAGGACCACCAGUGGCGAAAGCGUCAGACUGGAACGCGCCUGACGGUGAGGGACGAAAGCCAGGGGAGCGAACCGGAUUAGAUACCCGGGUAGUCCUGGCCGUAAACGAUGCGCACUAGGUGAUGGUGCGGCUAUGAGCCGCAUCAGUGUCGUAGGGAAACCGUUAAGUGUGCCGCCUGGGAAGUACGGUCGCAAGGCUUAAACUUAAAGGAAUUGGCGGGGGAGCACCACAAGGGGUGAAGCCUGCGGUUCAAUUGGACUCAACGCCGGGCAACUUACCAGGGGAGACAGCAGAAUGAGGGUCAGGUUGACGACCUUACCUGACAAGCUGAGAGGAGGUGCAUGGCCGUCGCCAGUUCGUGCUGUGAGGUAUCCUGUUAAGUCAGGCAACGAACGAGACCCGCACCUUUAUUUGCCAUCAAGAAGUCACGACUUCGUUGGGAACGAUAAAGGGACCGCCGUCGAUAAGACGGAGGAGGGAGCGGGCAAAGGCAGGUCAGUAUGCCCCGAAACCCCUGGGCCACACGCGGGCUGCAAUGGUGCGAACAAUGGGCUGUGACUCCGAAAGGAGAAACCAAUCCCGAAAUCGCAUCUCAGUGGGGAUUGUCGACUGUAACUCGUUGACAUGAACGUG